This 3313-nucleotide long non-coding RNA is filed under the name Triticum aestivum (bread wheat). RNAcentral describes it as "long non-coding RNA (TAES_LNC001259)". The record is from RNAcentral. Lineage: Eukaryota; Viridiplantae; Streptophyta; Magnoliopsida; Poales; Poaceae.
CUUGAUCUAGGAGCAUCAAUUUGACACCUGCGGGGGGCUAGCUUAAAAAUACCUCAUCUGUGCUGCAUAACAUUUGUGCGGCAGUCCCUUUGUAUGAUUUUAUGUAUUUGAAAAACUGUAUGUUGUGUACUUGUGAUAUCUGCAUUUAGAAGUAUCUGCAUCUGUGGAAUUAGAUAUGACUUAUGUGUAUUUGAAAAUUUGUAUGUUGUGUUUUUCUUGUACUGCUGAAGAUAGAAUUUGGUGUAAGUUCUGAUGCCUGUAUUUAGAAGCUAGCAUUCGCAUCUGGAAAAUCGGUUGCAAGAGAUUAGAGCUACUGCCAUACUUUAGUUUUUUUUGGAAGGGAUACUUAUGUUUAUCUGUAUAUCCUGCUAAAACAAAAUGUAGUUUGUUUCAAUAUUUAUCUGUGCAAACGCAUGCACAGGUCAGAUCACCUGAAAGCUUUGGCCUCUUUGGUUGAAACUAGCAUAGCCCGUGCGAUGGCACGCUGCGCCUGAUGAUGCAUUAUAUUUAUACGGAUCGUAAAGGCCAUUGUUAUAUUUUUAAUGAUAGAAUUGCAUAACUAAAACCCAGAAAGAGUUCUAAAAGGUGGAAAAUGAGUACAUUUAUUGCAGCCAUGUAUGAUAAAUACUGAUCAACAGAAGUGUACACGCUACUCAUAAGGUCUACUUAUUGGCACAUUAUAAAGACCGUUCUACUUGGUCACGGUUUAGAAGGCGCGCUUGGAAAUUCUCUGGAACCUAGGUGGUUAUCUAUUGGUUGUGAGAUGGGCUAAAAAAUAACAUUCGCACUACGCAUGCAUAUAGAAAUAGUAUAUCGGAGUACUAAUUAGCUACUAGAAAUAAAUGCAAUACGCCCUAAACCUUGUCUAUUGUGGAAACGCACGCAAAUUUAACUGUGCCUUCUAAACUGUGACGGAGGAAGUAUGGAACAUACCAUAUACAAUGAUGCAACUGCAUAAAAGUAAAUGAUUGCGGAUGGCCUAAUUGAGUUAAAUCAUCCUAGUGUAGCCUCCUGUAAGAUAGUUUGUAAUGAAAUAGUCAAGAGCUUUUGCAAAUUCCUCUACCUGUUCAACGGGUGUCUUAGCUCUUUUAUAUGUAAUGAUGGGUUCAUCUCUAUGAGGACGUUGGGAUACAUGCGAAGAAGUGCCACGUCGGAGAAAUCAUUGCAUAUUAUCGCCAAAAUCAUUAUUUAUCUUGCAAAUUCAUUCUGUUGGGUACUUACUUGCUAGCGAGCCAUGUUAAAUUUCCAUGCCCGUGCGGUGGCACGCCGCGCCUAUUGAUACUUUAUGUGAGAAAUUCUAUGUACAAUAAUAUUAAACUUCAUAUACCAAUUAUUUAAUUAUUUUAUUCACUUUUUACGUGUUCACUUCAAAUUUUAUAUUAUGGUGUAUGUAAAAAAAUUAUAUUGGUACAAAUGCUAUAAUCUUUCAUAAAGAAAAUUUUUAUUGAAUGAAAAGAGUCAGUAUAUUAAUUGUACAUAAAGAGAAUACAUAUUGAUAUUGCAUGAUAAAUUUCUGAUUCCUUGGUAAUUCAAGGCAUCCUUGUUUGACCGCCCAUUGGUUUUGUGUUCGUAAUGAAAUGAUAGCUGAGGAAGUUCACAUCAGUAGUUAACAUGAUAGAGCUUGUAUAUGGGGCAGUUGUUCGUAAGAAAAACAGAUUGUUAAUGCCUUGCAAUUGCUUCCGGCUUUUCACCCCGCAAGGGUCUUAUUAUGUAAGUUAAUAGUAUGUCAUCCAAAUUCAUCAUAGCUUGAUGCAUCCAUACAAUAAAUAUGAGAAGGGAUCGUUCAGAAAAAAAUAUGAGAAGGGGUUAAAACCAUAUCUCUAGUAUUGAUGCCUACAUACAACAAAUAUGAUAAGGGGGUAAACCCAUAUUAUUCAGUCUUGAUGCUUGCAUAGAACAAAUAUUAGAAGGGAGUAAAUCAUGGUCAUCCCAAAAACCAUAUCAUCAAAUUAACAGCAGAUGCAGCAAAUCACACGGGACCAUGAAGAAUAUAUCCCACACCGGAACCACCGUGGGUUUAACGGUUGCAAAUUCCUGCACCAAGGACAGAUAGUAAAUGUUUGCAGUAAUGAUGAAAGGGAUACUAUACCUUAAGAGCACAAAAAAAAACUAAAGCUAAAUAACACCAAUCAGUUAGUGGCCAUCUCUGAACCUUUAGUCUACAAGAAAAGGCUUCAAAAUAAUCGACAGAAGCAAUCCCUGUAUGGAUUAUCAAGAAGAAAGAGGAUCAGGAGAAACCUUGUCUCAUUACAUAGCAAUGAUAGCACCAAAAUUUUGACCACUUGCAAAUCUCCCCCGCUAUUGAGCUGCACAAAAAAUAUGAGAGAGAGAGAGAGAUGAUCACACGAACCUGGACGUAUGCGAAACCUCGUCGGACCAUGCAAGGGGAUACAACGCGGAUGGCAUGCAUCGCGGUUUGAGUGCACUUCAUGUUCAAUAGCAUCACAUAGCAGUGCAGUGCGCAACGCCAGGCCGUGCCUUGCUGAUGGACGUUUCACGUUGAGAUCCACGUACUCAUCCACAUGCCCACAACAUCAUCAGCAACAGCCGAUCCUGGCUAACAACGGACCACUCCGGCUCCAGUCGCUCCUGCGCAGUGUGGCCGCCUUCGAGACCAUCCUACUGUCUGCCUCCCCUCCGCCCCGACGCUGCAACCUAACCCCUUGUCGGCGCCACAGAGCAACCUGCUGUCUGCUGCACCAGGAGCAUCCGCCCUCGCCAUUGUCACACCGCUCGCACCGGCAAGUGAUCGUUAUCCGGCGGUGGUGAUGCCGUCGUCGUUGUCAUUGAGUUGUUGCCGCAGGAUUUAUGCUCCCCGAAUAGGGCGUCCUACUACGUCCGAGCGGAGACCAUGGCCCCGCCAAGGGGAUACGCAAGCGUCGGCCGCCGGGACACCCGGUUUCCGCGCAGCCCGUAACCAAUCGACAACAUCUUCGACGUAGUCACUGUCGGCCGCGGACGGCCGGUUGGACGGACUCACGGCGAUGCCGGAGCCGAAGCUGUGGCUGAUCCUCACCAGGCCCGCCAGCACCGCAAAGAAGGUCAGGGGAGAUUACGAGGCCCGGGGCAGCAACAGCGAGUUGCCGACAGCCAGGGCGCGGCGGCGGCAACGGCCGAUCAUCAGAGGACGAAGCAUGCUCCAUACAUACGGGCCGAGCCGAGACAACGAUCGGCGCAACAAGACAACCCGAACCACCACACCGGCCAACCAGAGCUCCCCGCGACGGAGGAGGCCGAGCAGGACGCCGCGUUCCAUUACGACAGGAAGAAGGAUAUACCAUAGAAACAAUAUAUGCUAACCCAAAAAAAAAAC